GACGAACGCUGGCGGCGUGCUUAACACAUGCAAGUCGAACGGAAAGGCCCUGCUUUUGUGGGGUGCUCGAGUGGCGAACGGGUGGGUAACACGUGAGUAACCUGCCCUUGACUUUGGGAUAACUUCAGGAAACUGGGGCUAAUACCGGAUAGGAGCUCCUGCUGCAUGGUGGGGGUUGGAAAGUUUCGGCGGUUGGGGAUGGACUCGCGGCUUAUCAGCUUGUUGGUGGGGUAGUGGCUUACCAAGGCUUUGACGGGUAGCCGGCCUGAGAGGGUGACCGGCCACAUUGGGACUGAGAGACGGCCCAGACUCCUACGGGAGGCAGCAGUGGGGAAUAUUGCACAAUGGGCGGAAGCCUGAUGCAGCAACGCCGCGUUCGGGAUGACGGCCUUCGGGUUGUAAACCGCUUUCGCCUGUGACGAAGCGUGAGUGACGGUAAUGGGUAAAGAAGCACCGGCUAACUACGUG
RNAcentral lists this ribosomal RNA (468 nucleotides) under uncultured bacterium. Its description in RNAcentral is "partial 16S ribosomal RNA". It matches the Rfam family "Bacterial small subunit ribosomal RNA", at positions 28 to 507 of the family's 1533-position model. The record is from RNAcentral.